This 360-nucleotide ribosomal RNA is filed under the name uncultured bacterium. RNAcentral describes it as "bacterial SSU rRNA". It matches the Rfam family "Bacterial small subunit ribosomal RNA", at positions 188 to 526 of the family's 1533-position model. The record is from RNAcentral.
GCGGCCCUUGGGGCAAAAGAUGGCCUCUGCUUGCAUGCUAUCACUCCGGGAUGGGCCUGCGCGCCAUUAGCUAGUUGGUGAGGUAACGGCUCACCAAGGCAGAGAUGGCUAGCUGGUCUGAGAGGAUGGCCAGCCACACUGGGACUGAGACACGGCCCAGACUCCUACGGGAGGCAGCAGUGGGGAAUAUUGCGCAAUGGGCGAAAGCCUGACGCAGCGACGCCGCGUGGGUGAUGAAGGCCUUCGGGUCGUAAAGCCCUGUCAAGAGGGACGAAACCUCGUCGACCUAACACGUCGGCGACCUGACGGUACCUCUGAAGGAAGCACCGGCUAACUCCGUGCCAGCCGCCGCAGUAAUAC